This is a long non-coding RNA of Mastomys coucha (southern multimammate mouse), 288 nucleotides long. RefSeq lists it as uncharacterized. The record is from RefSeq and is a predicted model, not a curated record. The transcript is spliced from 2 exons. Lineage: Eukaryota; Metazoa; Chordata; Mammalia; Rodentia; Muridae.
UUAUGUUUAUAGAACCUUCUUUUUUGGACAACAGAGGAUUACCAAUACUUUUGUAAAGCCCAGCUGAGAGAGAAAAAAGAGGGAGUGACCACAGACAAUCACCCAUCUCAGGGUGGGUGCACCUCUCCCCAGCUGUGAAACCCAAGGAGGCUCUACUAGCCAUCACUAGCUGCCAAAUUUCAAGUACAAGAGACAAGAAGCUCUACAGGGGACAUACCUAGCUCUGAUUUAAAUUUAAUCUGUGUGGUCAAUUAUUUGUAUAAGAAUGGAGGAAAAUAAAGACUAUUU